GGGAGGCAGCAGUAGGGAUCUUUCCGCAAUGGACGAAAGUCUGACGGAGCAACGCCGCGUGAGUGAUGAAGGUUUUCGGAUCGUAAAGCUCUGUUGUUAGGGAAGAACAAGUGCGAGAGUAACUGCUCGCACCUUGACGGUACCUACCAGAAAGCCACGGCUAACUACGUGCCAGCAGCCGCGGUAAUACGUAGGUGGCAAGCGUUGUCCGGAAUUAUUGGGCGUAAAGGGCUCGCAGGCGGUUUCUUAAGUCUGAUGUGAAAGCCCCCGGCCAACCGGGGAGGGUCAUUGGAAACUGGGAAACUUGAGUGCAGAAGAGGAGAGUGGAAUUCCACGUGUAGCGGUGAAAUGCGUAGAGAUGUGGAGGAACACCAGUGGCGAGCGACUCUCUGGUCUGUAUGACGCUGAGGAGCGAAAGCGUGGGGAGCGAACAGGAUUAGAUACCCUGGUAGUCCACGCCGUAAACGAUGAGUGCUAAGUGUUAGGGGGUUUCCGCCCCUUAGUGCUGCAGCUAACGCAUUAAGCAUCCGCCUGGGGAGUACGGUCGCAAGACUGAAACUCAAAGGAAUUGACGGGGGCCCGCACAAGCGGUGGAGCAUGUGGUUUAAUUCGAAGCAACGCGAAGAACCUUACCAGGUCUUGACAUCCUCUGAAACCCUAGAGAUAGGGCUUUCCCUUCGGGGACAGAGUGACAGGUGGUGCAUGGUUGUCGUCAGCUCGUGUCGUGAGAUGUUGGGUUAAGUCCCGCAACGAGCGCAACCCUUGAUCUUAGUUGCCAGCUUUAGUUGGGCACUCUAAGGUGACUGCCGGUGACAAACCGGAGGAAGGUGGGGAUGACGUCAAAUCAUCAUGCCCCUUAUGACCUGGGCUACACACGUGCUACAAUGGACAGAACAAAGGGCUGCAAACCGCAAGGUUUAGCCAAUCCCAUAAAUCUGUUCUCAGUUCGGAUCGCAGUCUGCAACUCGACUGCGUGAAGCUGGAAUCGCUAGUAAUCGCGGAUCAGCAUGCCGCGGUGAAUACGUUCCCGGGCC
Molecule: ribosomal RNA, 1034 nt
Filed under: Bacillus australimaris
Lineage: Bacteria; Bacillati; Bacillota; Bacilli; Caryophanales; Bacillaceae
Description: bacterial SSU rRNA
Rfam family: Bacterial small subunit ribosomal RNA
Source: RNAcentral